This is a long non-coding RNA of Gasterosteus aculeatus aculeatus (three-spined stickleback), 610 nucleotides long. NCBI's taxonomy places the organism in Eukaryota, Metazoa, Chordata, Actinopteri, Perciformes, Gasterosteidae. The record is from Ensembl.
AAAGUGUUGCGUGUGUGGUCUCCAUUAGCUGCUCCGCUCCGACAGCCAACCAGGAGCUCUGGGGUCGUAAAAGCCCACAGCUUGGCAGUAAUAUGGGGGGGCAUUGUGUUAGCCACCUGUAAAAUCAAUGUGCCGGGCCGGACUGCAGCCACAGCCGACGUUUGACUGCUCUCUCUCGCCCUCUUGAGAUUGACAGAAUGGGGAAUCGGUCAUUCGGUUCAUAUAAUGUCCCUUAAGCAGUCACAGCUUCACUGCAUGUAGCAUCAGAGCCCUUCUGUCAAUAGAAGUUCCUGUGCAUCAAUAAGCAGCAUGAACCAUAACGAGUGUGCAUUGGCGUCAUCAGAGCGUUGUGUGUGUGUGUGGAGUUGAAGUGAAUAUGACCACACAAAGCCUGCUUCUGCUGGACCCUUGGCUGAACAAAGAGGUCUGAUGAGGAGGGUUAGGAUCUGAGGCUAAGCUGUAAUUGAAUGCCAACAGGAGUGGUGUUUUUCCUCAGACCUCUGAAGGAGGACCUGACCUUGCGCCGCUGACAGACAGGCAACGCAAAGACCCAGCUGGAUAAUUAGAUUAAAAAACACGGAUCCCAAGGGAUGGAGAUGUGACAAGCACG